GUGUCUGUUGGAAACCCUGAGGGAGAUGUUGGACACGCGGAUCUGUCUUAUCUGGAGGCCCAGGGAAAGAUCUGAGCUGAAAUAUGAAUUUGGGAGUGGCCAGAAUACAGGUGUUUCUUAAAGCCAUGAAACUAGAUGACUUUAAAAUAACCUUCAGGUGAAUCCAAGAUGGCUGAUUAGAAACAGCUGCGGUCUGAGGCACUUACAGCGAAGAAUGAAAACGGGUGAGUGAAUUCAGCACCUUCAACUGAAAUAUCCAGGUUCUCACAUUGGGACUAACUAGGCAAACAACUCGACCCACGGAGAAUGAAAAGAAGUGGUGGGAGGGUCAAUGGCCCACUCAGCAGUGGCACGGAGCCAAAGGAACCUCCACCACCAGCCAAGGAAGUGGUGAGCGAUUGUGGACCCUGCUGGGAAAUCAUGCUUCUCCCAUGGAUCUUUGCAACCGUGGAUCAGGAGAUCCCUUCAUGAGCCCCCACCACAAAGCGCUUGGGCCCGAUACACAGAGCUUUGUGGAACUUCAGCAGAGCAGCCACUCAGCCACACAGAGAGACCCAGGCGUUUUACAUACUCCGGCCCCAGGAUCCCUGGCAAGGUGGGAAAUCCAUCCUUCCAGAUUCCUGGGAAGAGGGCUGACUCCAUGGAGCCAAGCAGAAUCAUUCCGCAGUCCUCACUUUCAUGGCACAUCACAAGUUAAGACCCACUGGCUUGGAAUCCCAGCCAGCCAACAGCAACAGGCUGGACUCUGCCUGAUAAGGGUCCGAGUUCCCAGGGGAGGGGUGGCUGCCAUCUCUGCAAUUCGGUAGACUCAGCCGUUCCAGCCUGCAGACUUUGGAGAACACAAGUGGUUCAGAUGAGAAGGGGUCCCCCACAGGCAGCACAGCUGCCUUGCCAGAUCAUGGCCAAAGUGGUUCUUUAAGUGUGAUCCCAUCCACUUCUCCUCACUGGGUGGGUCCUCCCUGCAGGGGCUUCAGCCACUCCAGCCAGGGUUCUAUGGAUA
Molecule: long non-coding RNA, 1000 nt
Organism: Nomascus leucogenys (northern white-cheeked gibbon)
Lineage: Eukaryota; Metazoa; Chordata; Mammalia; Primates; Hylobatidae
Exons: 4
Source: RefSeq, a predicted model, not a curated record